Thamnophis elegans (Western terrestrial garter snake) is the source of this 1118-nucleotide long non-coding RNA. RefSeq lists it as uncharacterized. The record is from RefSeq and is a predicted model, not a curated record. The transcript has 3 exons. NCBI's taxonomy places the organism in Eukaryota, Metazoa, Chordata, Lepidosauria, Squamata, Natricidae.
AGUCACUAGAUAAACCUUUGCAGCUUGAAAAAAAAAGGAGGUCAAAGAAGAGGCUAACAGAAGGAAUAAUGGUGCCCCUUCCCAGAAUACCAGUUGAUGCCAUCAGCGUAAGAGAGUACUUCUGCAACAUGCCUGCUACAGAAUUCGGUCAUGGAUUCUCCUGUAAACCUGCAGGUAUGAGUGCAAAACAUUACAAUUAUUUUUGGAAAAUACACUAUAGCAGUGAUGUUGAAUGUUUUUCUGCCUGAGUACCAAAAGGAUGCACGUGUAUGCAUGCCCACCCCCAUAAUGCAAUGCCCACCCACCCCAGCGCAUGAGUGCACACACACCCCAAGCUCUCCCCACGCAUGAACACAGACCUCACUGAAGCCUCCGGACUUCCAGUAGGUCUGUUGUGUGGUAUUUCACCAUCCACAGGCUCCGGAGGCUUUUCUGAAGCCUGAUGAGGGCGAAAACACCCUCCCGCUGCCCUCCGGAUGGCUGAAAAUCAGCUGGCCAGCGCUGAUUUAUAGUUUAAGUUUAUAAACAUUAAUUAAGCGAUUUUCAGAUAUAACAAUUAUACUGAUUGAAAUAUCCACAGCUGUACUUUACAAAUUUGUAGAUCUAUGUCUGUGAUGGCAAACCUAUGGCACAAGUGCCCGAAGUGGCACUCGGAGCCAUGUCACCUGGCACGUGUGACAUCGCCCAUUUCUCUUCCAGGUUUCUGGCAUACAUGUGCCUGCAAUGAUCAGGUGGCCUUUGUGAGUGCGGCAGUGUUGGAAACUGGAAGAGCUGGUCUUCUGUUUUCCGGCGUGAGCAUGUGCACGGGCCAGAUCGUCGCAUGUGCAUGUGUGCUAUAACCGGAAGACUUGCUGACUGGUAUGGUGGAAGUUCAUUUUCUGGCAAGCGCAUGUCCCCUGGGCAGCUCCUCUUCCAGGUCACAGCCCCGAUGAAUGCGUGCAUGUGCGCUCCCUUUUUGGCACUUGGUUCCAAAAAUGUUCGCCAUCAAUGACAUAGUACUCUAGUAGAAACUAAAGAUAACAUGGUUAAAUGUCAUAACUGCAUCUGUGUUUCCCUGGAUAUUUUUCCAGAACUCAUGAGAAAGCAUCACACAUCAAACUGAAAAAAAAAUACUGUAC